CGGCAGGCCUAACACAUGCAAGUCGAGGGGUAGAGUUCUUCGGAACUUGAGACCGGCGCACGGGUGCGUAACGCGUAUGCAAUCUACCUUAUACAGGGGAAUAGCCCAGAGAAAUUUGGAUUAAUGCCCCAUAGUAUUAUUGAAUCGCAUGGUUUAAUAAUUAAAGUUCCAACGGUAUAAGAUGAGCAUGCGUCCCAUUAGUUAGUUGGUAAGGUAACGGCUUACCAAGACAAUGAUGGGUAGGGGUCCUGAGAGGGAGAUCCCCCACACUGGUACUGAGACACGGACCAGACUCCUACGGGAGGCAGCAGUGAGGAAUAUUGGUCAAUGGGCGCAAGCCUGAACCAGCCAUGCCGCGUGCAGGAAGAAGCAUCUAUGGUGUGUAAACUGCUUUUAUACAGGAAGAAACAACGCUACGUGUAGCGUCUUGACGGUACUGU
RNAcentral lists this ribosomal RNA (440 nucleotides) under Bacteroidetes bacterium BAL240. RNAcentral's name for it is "bacterial SSU rRNA". It matches the Rfam family "Bacterial small subunit ribosomal RNA", at positions 40 to 481 of the family's 1533-position model. Lineage: Bacteria; Pseudomonadati; Bacteroidota. The record is from RNAcentral.